Molecule: ribosomal RNA, 259 nt
Filed under: uncultured bacterium
Lineage: Bacteria
Description: partial 16S ribosomal RNA
Rfam family: Bacterial small subunit ribosomal RNA
Source: RNAcentral
UACGGAGGGUGCGAGCGUUGUCCGGAAUCACUGGGCGUAAAGGGCGCGUAGGUGGCGCGACAAGUCAACGGUGAAAGCCCGGGGGCUCAACCCCGGGCCUGCGGUCGAUACGGGUAGGCUCGAGUUCGGUAGGGGAGACUGGAAUUCCUGGUUGUAGCGGUGAAAUGCGCAGAUAUCAGGAGGAACACCGAUGGCGAAGGCAGGUCUCUGGGCCAUUACUGACACUGAGAAGCGAAAAGCAUGGGGGGAGCGAAACAGG